Molecule: transfer RNA, 59 nt
Filed under: Dipodomys ordii (Ord's kangaroo rat)
Lineage: Eukaryota; Metazoa; Chordata; Mammalia; Rodentia; Heteromyidae
Rfam family: tRNA
About the family: Transfer RNA (tRNA) molecules are approximately 80 nucleotides in length. Their secondary structure includes four short double-helical elements and three loops (D, anti-codon, and T loops).
Source: Rfam by way of RNAcentral
GGGAAGUUGGCUCAGUGGUAGAGCACUUGCCUUGCAUGCAUGAGGCCCUGGGUUUCUCA